CCCGGCCUCUGCUAGCAUUUUCCAACUGUGUCCUAUAAUAGUAAUCUUACUUAAAGUACUCAAUAAGUUCUAGCAACAAGACUCCUUCAGAGUGCAGACCUUGGAAAGAAUCAGGAUAAGGACAGAGGUGGGGGCACCCGAGGACUGAAAUCCAUGGCCAAGCCCUGAAACCCUCACAUCUGUAUCUUGUUGCUCAAUGUCCAGGCCAGGCAAAUGAAUCUAACUGGCCAAUGGGAAAGCUGGGAUUGGAAGGCAAUGGAACCUGGUCAGUCAGAGACAAAGCACCAACAGAGACAAUCAGCUGCAAUGCCACAGUGGAAAGCUGGAAAGAAGAGAGUGAGUUUGGGUGGAUGUGGCCCAAGCCUGGACUGACUUCAUUUCUGGCCUAUGAAGAUGAUUAAACAGCAACUGAGGGUCUAAAGACCAAUACCUUCCAGGGUCUGGAUCUUUCUCCCAGGCUGGAGUACAGUGGCGCC
This is a non-coding RNA of Macaca mulatta (Rhesus monkey), 476 nucleotides long. Lineage: Eukaryota; Metazoa; Chordata; Mammalia; Primates; Cercopithecidae. The record is from RefSeq and is a predicted model, not a curated record.